GCUGGGCACGGUGGCAGGUGCCUGCAGUCCCAGCUACUCAGGAGGCAGAAGCAGGAGGAUCAUUUGAGUCCAGGAGUUCUGGGCUGUAGUGUGCUGUGCCAAUUGGGUAUCCACACUAAGUUGGGCAUCAAUAUGGUGACCUCCCGGGAGCAGGGAAGCACUGGAUUGCCUAAGGAAGGGUGAACUGGCCCAGGUCAGAGAUGGAAAAGGUCAAAACUCCUGUGCUGAUCAGUCAUGGGAUCGUGCCUGUGAAUGGCCACUGCACUUCCGCCUGGGCAACGCAGCAAGACCCCAUCUCUU
Molecule: unclassified non-coding RNA, 300 nt
Organism: Pongo abelii (Sumatran orangutan)
Lineage: Eukaryota; Metazoa; Chordata; Mammalia; Primates; Hominidae
Rfam family: Metazoan signal recognition particle RNA
About the family: The signal recognition particle (SRP) is a universally conserved ribonucleoprotein. It is involved in the co-translational targeting of proteins to membranes.
Source: Ensembl